Molecule: small RNA, 30 nt
Filed under: Bombyx mori (domestic silkworm)
Lineage: Eukaryota; Metazoa; Arthropoda; Insecta; Lepidoptera; Bombycidae
Description: ovarian small RNA-10696
Source: RNAcentral
AAGUCUCGCGUAGCGCGUGGCCGCCAACGC